UACGUAGGCAGCAAGCGUUGUUCGGAAUUACUGGGCGUAAAGAGUGUGUAGGCGGUGCUCUAAGUCUGUCGUGAAAUCUCCCGGCUUAACUGGGAGGGUGCGGCGGAAACUGGAGUGCUAGAGGGUGGGAGAGGAAAGCGGAAUUCCUGGUGUAGCGGUGAAAUGCGUAGAUAUCAGGAGGAACACCUGCGGUGUAGACAGCUUUCUGGACCACUUCUGACGCUGAGACACGAAAGCGUGGGUAGCAAACAGG
Molecule: ribosomal RNA, 253 nt
Filed under: uncultured bacterium
Lineage: Bacteria
Also listed under: 1 other name
Description: partial 16S ribosomal RNA
Rfam family: Bacterial small subunit ribosomal RNA
Source: RNAcentral